UACGAAGGGGGCUAGCGUUGCUCGGAAUUACUGGGCGUAAAGCGCACGUAGGCGGAUAUUUAAGUCAGGGGUGAAAUCCCAGAGCUCAACUCUGGAACUGCCUUUGAUACUGGGUAUCUUGAGUAUGGAAGAGGUAAGUGGAAUUGCGAGUGUAGAGGUGAAAUUCGUAGAUAUUCGCAGGAACACCAGUGGCGAAGGCGGCUUACUGGUCCAUAACUGACGCUGAGGUGCGAAAGCGUGGGGGAGCAAACAGG
RNAcentral lists this ribosomal RNA (254 nucleotides) under uncultured bacterium. RNAcentral describes it as "partial 16S ribosomal RNA". It matches the Rfam family "Bacterial small subunit ribosomal RNA", at positions 524 to 776 of the family's 1533-position model. The record is from RNAcentral.